Molecule: ribosomal RNA, 1530 nt
Filed under: metagenome
Description: bacterial LSU rRNA
Rfam family: Bacterial large subunit ribosomal RNA
Source: RNAcentral
AAACCGUAGUCGAUGGGAAACUGGUUAAUAUGCCAGCACCGUUGUGAAUUGCGAUGGGUUGACGGAGAAGGCUAGGUGUACCGGGCGUUGGUUGUCCCGGGGAAAGCCGGUAGGUGGUGAUCUUAGGCAAAUCCGGGAUCACAUACACCGAGCACCGAGACGAGUCCAUGUGGACGAAGUCACUGAGGCCACGCUUCCAGGAAAAACCUCUAAGCUUCAGAUCACAACGACCGUACCGUAAUCCGACACAGGUAGGCAGGGUGAGAAUCCUCAGGCGCUUGAGAGAACUCGGGUGAAGGAACUAGGCAACAUAGCACCGUAACUUCGGGAGAAGGUGCGCCCUUUUUGGUGGCUCCGUGCGGAGCUGGGCUAAAGAGGGCCGCAGUGACCAGGCCGCUGCGACUGUUUAUCAAAAACACAGCACUCUGCAAACACGAAAGUGGACGUAUAGGGUGUGACGCCUGCCCGGUGCCGGAAGGUUAAUUGAUGGGGUUAGGGAAACCGAAGCUCUUGAUCGAAGCCCCGGUAAACGGCGGCCGUAACUAUAACGGUCCUAAGGUAGCGAAAUUCCUUGUCGGGUAAGUUCCGACCUGCACGAAUGGCGUAACGACAGCGGCGCUGUCUCCACCCGAGACUCAGUGAAAUUGAAAUCGCUGUGAAGAUGCAGCGUUCCCGCGGCAAGACGGAAAGACCCCGUGAACCUUUACUAUAGCUUUACACUGAACGUUGAGUUCUUCUGUGUAGGAUAGGUGGGAGGCUACGAAGCAUGGACGCCAGUCUGUGUGGAGCCAUCCUUGAAAUACCACCCUGAAGUGCUUGACGUUCUAACCUAGGUCCGUAAUCCGGAUCAGGGACCGUGUAUGGUGGGUAGUUUGACUGGGGCGGUCUCCUCCCAAAGAGUAACGGAGGAGCACGAAGGUGCGCUCAGCACGGUCGGACAUCGUGCAGUGUGUGUAAAGGCAUAAGCGCGCUUGACUGCGAGAUCGACGGAUCAAGCAGGUACGAAAGUAGGUCUUAGUGAUCCGGUGGUUCUGUAUGGAAGGGCCAUCGCUCAACGGAUAAAAGGUACUCCGGGGAUAACAGGCUGAUACCGCCCAAGAGUUCAUAUCGACGGCGGUGUUUGGCACCUCGAUGUCGGCUCAUCACAUCCUGGGGCUGUAGUCGGUCCCAAGGGUAUGGCUGUUCGCCAUUUAAAGUGGUACGCGAGCUGGGUUCAGAACGUCGUGAGACAGUUCGGUCCCUAUCUGUCGUGGGCGUUGGAGAUUUGAGAGGGGCUGCUCCUAGUACGAGAGGACCGGAGUGGACGUACCCCUGGUGUUCCGGUUGUCACGCCAGUGGCAUUGCCGGGUAGCUAUGUACGGAAACGAUAACCGCUGAAAGCAUCUAAGCGGGAAGCGCGCCUCAAGAUGAGAUCUCCCGGAGCUUUAAGCUCCCUAAAGGAACGAUGAAGACUACGUCGUUGAUAGGCGCGGUGUGUAAGUGCAGCAAUGCAUUGAGCUUACGCGUACUAAUGAUCCGUGAGGCUUGAUC